RNAcentral lists this transfer RNA (93 nucleotides) under Caudoviricetes sp. Its description in RNAcentral is "tRNA-OTHER". It matches the Rfam family "tRNA". From Rfam's summary of the family: Transfer RNA (tRNA) molecules are approximately 80 nucleotides in length. Their secondary structure includes four short double-helical elements and three loops (D, anti-codon, and T loops). Lineage: Duplodnaviria; Heunggongvirae; Uroviricota; Caudoviricetes. The record is from RNAcentral.
CGUGGAGUGGUGUAACGGUUAGCACAGCGGUCUCUAAAACCGUAUCCUUCUGAGGGAGUAAGAUUGGGUUCGAAUCCCAACUCCACUGCCAGA